RNAcentral lists this ribosomal RNA (465 nucleotides) under uncultured bacterium. RNAcentral describes it as "partial 16S ribosomal RNA". It matches the Rfam family "Bacterial small subunit ribosomal RNA", at positions 28 to 507 of the family's 1533-position model. The record is from RNAcentral.
GACGAACGCUGGCGGCGUGCUUAACACAUGCAAGUCGAACGGAAAGGCCCUGCUUGCAGGGUACUCGAGUGGCGAACGGGUGAGUAACACGUGGGUGAUCUGCCCUGCACUUCGGGAUAAGCCUGGGAAACUGGGUCUAAUACCGGAUAGGAGCCAUUUUUAGUGUGAUGGUUGGAAAGUUUUUUCGGUGUAGGAUGAGCUCGCGGCCUAUCAGCUUGUUGGUGGGGUAAUGGCCUACCAAGGCGGCGACGGGUAGCCGGCCUGAGAGGGUGGACGGCCACAUUGGGACUGAGAUACGGCCCAGACGCCGACGGGAGGCAGCAGUGGGGAAUAUUGAACAAUGGGCGCAAGCCGGAUGCAGCGACGCCGCGUGGGGGAGGACGGCCUUCGGGUUGUAAAUCCCUUUCGCUAGGGACGAAGCUUUUUGUGACGGUACCUAGAUAAGAAGCACCGGCUAACUACGUG